This 375-nucleotide ribosomal RNA is filed under the name uncultured Rhodocyclaceae bacterium. Its description in RNAcentral is "bacterial SSU rRNA". It matches the Rfam family "Bacterial small subunit ribosomal RNA", at positions 1013 to 1382 of the family's 1533-position model. The record is from RNAcentral. Lineage: Bacteria; Pseudomonadati; Pseudomonadota; Betaproteobacteria; Rhodocyclales; Rhodocyclaceae.
AGUGCUCGCGAAGAGAACCGGAACACAGGUGCUGCAUGGCUGUCGUCAGCUCGUGUCGUGAGGAUGUUGGGUUAAGUCCCGCAGCGAGCGCAACCCUUGUCAUUAGUUGCCAUCAUUUGGUUGGGGCACUCUAAUGAGACUGCCGGUGACAAACCGGAGGAAGGUGGGGAUGACGUCAAGUCCUCAUGGCCCUUAUGGGUAGGGCUUCACACGUCAUACAAUGGUCGGUACAGAGGGUUGCCAACCCGCGAGGGGGGAGCCCAAUCCCACAAAGCCGGUCGUAGUCCGGAUCGCAGUCUGCAACUCGACUGCGUGAAGUCGGAAUCGCUAGUAAUCGCGGAUCAGCAUGUCGCGGUGAAUACGUUCCCGGGUCUU